Molecule: ribosomal RNA, 197 nt
Filed under: uncultured bacterium
Lineage: Bacteria
Description: partial 16S ribosomal RNA
Rfam family: Bacterial small subunit ribosomal RNA
Source: RNAcentral
ACGCUCGACACCUACGGGAGGAGCAGUGGGGGAUAUUGCACAAUGGGGGAAACCCUGAUGCAGCAACGCCGCGUGAGGGAAGACGGUUUUCGGAUUGUAAACCUCUGUCAUCGGUGACGAUAAUGACGGUAGCCGAUGAGGAAGCUCCGGCUAACUACGUGCUAGCAGCCGCGGUAAUCUGAGCGGGCUGGCAAGGC